GAAAUGCGAUAAGUAAUGCGAAUUGCAGAAUUCAGUGAAUCAUCGAAUCUUUGAACGCACAUUGCGCUCUCUGGUAUUCCGGAGAGCACGCCUGUUCGAGCGCCAUUUCACCCCCCAAGCUCUGCUUGAUGUUGGACGGAGCGGAAAGCCUGCCCGUCCGAAACUUGUGAGGCGUCCGACCGUCGAGCACCAGCGUGGCAAGCAAAAACUUCGCUGGGAGUGCUUCGACGGCCGACUGCCGCGAAACUACCUACAUCAUUUCAGGUUGGCCUCGGAUCAGGUGGGGAUACCCGCUGAACUUAA
This 303-nucleotide unclassified non-coding RNA is filed under the name uncultured Fusicladium. Its description in RNAcentral is "sequence contains ITS1". The stretch from base 1 to 105 matches the Rfam family "5.8S ribosomal RNA", at positions 50 to 154 of the family's 154-position model. The record is from RNAcentral. Lineage: Eukaryota; Fungi; Ascomycota; Dothideomycetes; Venturiales; Sympoventuriaceae.